GAUGAACGCUGGCGGCGUGCCUAAUACAUGCAAGUCGAGCGAACAGACGAGGAGCUUGCUCCUCUGACGUUAGCGGCGGACGGGUGAGUAACACGUGGAUAACCUACCUAUAAGACUGGGAUAACUUCGGGAAACCGGAGCUAAUACCGGAUAAUAUAUUGAACCGCAUGGUUCAAUAGUGAACACGGUUUUGGCUGAACCUAUAGCUGGGUCCGCGGCGCAUUAGCUAGUUGGUAAGGUAACGGCUUACCAAGGCAACGAUGCGUAGCCGACCUGAGAGGGUGAUCGGCCACACUGGAACUGAGACACGGUCCAGACUCCUACGGGAGGCAGCAGUAGGGAAUCUUCCGCAAUGGGCGAAAGCCUGACGGAGCAACGCCGCGUGAGUGAUGAAGGUCUUCGGAUCGUAAAACUCUGUUAUUAGGGAAGAACAAAUGUGUAAGUAACUAUGCACGUCUUGACGGUACCUAAUCAGAAAGCCACGGCUAACUACGUG
This 496-nucleotide ribosomal RNA is filed under the name uncultured bacterium. Its description in RNAcentral is "partial 16S ribosomal RNA". It matches the Rfam family "Bacterial small subunit ribosomal RNA", at positions 28 to 507 of the family's 1533-position model. The record is from RNAcentral.